This 305-nucleotide ribosomal RNA is filed under the name uncultured bacterium. RNAcentral's name for it is "bacterial SSU rRNA". It matches the Rfam family "Bacterial small subunit ribosomal RNA", at positions 333 to 653 of the family's 1533-position model. The record is from RNAcentral.
CUUUGCCUACGGGGGGCAGCAGUGGGGAAUAUUGGGCAAUGGGCGCAAGCCUGACCCAGCAAUGCCGCGUGAAGGAAGAAGGCUUUCGGGUUGUAAACUUCUUUGACAGGGGAAGAGCAGAAGACGGUACCCUGAAAACAAGCCACGGCUAACUACGUGCCAGCAGCCGCGGUAAUACGUAGGUGGCAAGCGUUGUCCGGAUUUACUGGGUGUAAAGGGUGCGUAGGCGGCCCUGCAAGUCAGAAGUGAAAUCCAUGGGCUUAACCCGUGAACUGCUUUUGAAACUGCAGGACUUGAGUGGAGUA